Molecule: non-coding RNA, 1183 nt
Organism: Pelobates cultripes (western spadefoot toad)
Lineage: Eukaryota; Metazoa; Chordata; Amphibia; Anura; Pelobatidae
Source: the annotation of a GenBank genome assembly
GUGAUUUUCAUUUUUUUCUUUUGUUUAAUAUAAGUAUAAAUACCCUUAACUUAGUACUUAGUUAAAGCACCUUUGGCGGUGAUUAUAGCCUCAAGUCUUUUUGGGGUAUGAUGGGACAAGCUUUGAACACUUGGAUUUGUGUAGGGUACCAUUUAUCUCUGCAGAUCAUCUUGCAUUGUUGUGGCUGUGUCCUUUGGGUCAUUGUCCUGUUGGAAGGUAAACCUUCUGCCCAGCCAGAGUUUCCAUAGACAAGACACUUUGAAUUGAGGACAUAACAGUUCAUCUUUGUUUCAACAAACCAUAUAAUCUUGUUUCUCAGAGACUUUAGGUACUUUUUUUGCAAAUUCCAAGCUGGCUUUUAUGUGUGUUGCAUUGAGUGGAGGUUUCUGUCUGGCCAGUGUGCCAUAAAGGGCUGGAGAAUUACAGUGAUGGUUAUUCUUCUGCAAGUUUCUCCCAUCUUCUCACAUAAUCUCUGGAACUCAUUGGAGCCCCAUUGGGUUAUUAGUCACCUCUCUUACCAAGGUCCUUCCCUCUCAAUUGCUCAAUUCGAGGUGUAGUAGUUGUUCCAAACUUCUUCCAUGUAAGAUUAUUGAGGUUACUGUGCUCAUGGGAACCUUUAAUACAGGGAAAUAGUUUGUAGCCCUCCCCAGAUCUGUGCCUUGACAGAAUCCUGUCCCUGAGCUCUGCAGUCAGUUUAUUUGGCCUCAUGGCUUGUUUUGUUCUCUGAAAUGCAGGUACAGCUUUAAGUCCAUGUAUAAACAGGUUUGUUUUUCUUUUCAAAGCAUCUCCAACUAACUGGUGGACACACCAGUGGCUUCAAUCAAAGUGUAGAAACAUCUAUGAGGAUCCAGAGAAAUCAGAUGCAUCUGAUUAAUUUAAAGUGUCGUAGCAAAGGGUCUGAAUACCUAUGUCAAUGUGAUACUUCAGUCUUUUCACUUUAAUACAUUUGCAAAGUAUUCAAAAAAUCUGUUGUUUUUUUCAGCAUUGUCAUUAUGUAACAUUGAGCAUAGAUUUAUGUGGCAUAAUUUAACCACUUAAGGACAUGAUAGUCUCUACUGAGAGCUUCAUGAAAUAUAUAGUGUACCUUUUACCAGAACUCUCUGCCUAUUACCAGAAUCUGCAAGAUACAUACCUCCCAAGUGUCCCUAUUUAGGAAGGACAGACCCAAAUUUGGGCCCAAAUC